GGUAGAGCUACCGGAUGCUUGCGGGCCCUUGUUGGGUACCAACAGCAGCCGAACUCCGAAUACCGUUGACGUGUAUUCCGGCAGUGAGUCGGCGGGGGAUAAGCUCCGUCGUCGAGAGGGAGACAGCCCAGACCGUCGUCUAAGGUCCCGAAGCGUGUGCUAAGUGGGAAAGGAUGUGGAGUCGCAUAGACAGCCAGGAGGUUGGCUCAGAAGCAGCCAUCCUUGAAAGAGUGCGUAACAGCUCACUGGUCUAGUGGUUCCGCGCCGACAAUGUAGCGGGGCUCAAGCACACCACCGAAGACGCGGCAGCAAUCUUCAUGGUUGCUGGGUAGGAGAGCGUCCUGCGAGGGGCGAAGCGGCCGGGUAACCGUGCCGUGGACUUCGUGGGAGUGAGAAUGCAGACAUGAGUAGCGAGAGACGGGUGAGGAUCCCGUCCGCUGGAUGACCAAGGGUUCCGGGGCCACGUUCGUCGUCCCCGGGUGAGUCGGGUCCUAAGGCGAGGCCGACAGGCGUAGUCGAAUGGAUGAACGGGUGGAUAUUCCCGUACCGACCAUGGACCGGCAAAACCGAGACGGUGAGUACUAACCUCCGCCUCGUGGUGGUUCCUUCCUUCGGGUUGGUAUCGCCGCGUGGUGUUGGGACUGUAGCCGCAGUAGGUCAGCGCAGGGGUGACACGGAAUGGGAGCCGGCCGCGGAGGUGGUUUUCCGUGGUCAAGCACGCAGCCAGUCAUGUAGGCAAAUCCGCAUGGCGCGCAUGGCGAGGUGUGAUGAUGGGAGCCGUUAUGGCUCGAUAUCCGGUUGUCCAGGCCGUCGAGAAAAGCCUCGGCGUGAGGGCCAUGGCCGCCCGUACCCCAAACCGACACUGGUGGUCAGGUAGAGAAUACCAAGGCGAUCGAGCGAAUCCUGGUCAAGGAACUCGGCAAAUCACUCCCGUGCCUUCGGUAUAAGGGAGACCCGCUGGGGUGAACCGGCUAGCCCGGGGAGCUUUGGUGGGUGGCACAGACCAGGGGGUAGCGACUGUUUACCAAAAACACAGGUGCAUGCGAAGGCGAAAGCCGCUGUAUAUGCACUGACGCCUGCCCGGUGCCGGAAGGUUAAGAGGAUCCGUCAGUCCUUCGGGAUGAAGCGGUGAAUUCAAGCCCCGGUAAACGGCGGUGGUAACUAUAACCAUCCUAAGGUAGCGAAAUUCCUUGUCGGGUAAGUUCCGACCUGCACGAAUGGCGUAACGACUUCCCCACUGUCUCGACCAGGAGCUCGGCGAAAUUGCAGUACGAGUAAAGAUGCUCGUUAAGCGCAGAAGGACGAAAAGACCCCGGGACCUUUACUAUACCUUGGUAUUGGCGUUAGGCGCGGAUUGUGUAGCAUAGGCGGGAGGCUUCGAAGCGUGGGCGCCAGCUCAUGUGGAGCCGCAAGGUGAAAUACCGCUCUGUUCUCGUUUGACGUCUAACCUCGACAAGUCAUCCUUGUCAGGGACAGUGCCUGGCGGGUAGUUCAACUGGGGCGGUUGCCUCCCAAAGAGUAACGGAGGCGCUCAAAGGUCCGCUCAGCCCGGUUGGCAAUCGGGUGUCGAGUGUAAUCGCACAAGCGGGCUUGACUGCGAGGACGACGGUCCGAGCAGGGACGAAAGUCGGAGAUAGUGAUCCGGUGCCGGCGCACGGGCGCGGCAUCGCUCAACGGAUAAAAGGUACCCCGGGGAUAACAGGCUGAUCAUUCCCAAGAGUCCAUAUCGACGGGAUGGUUUGGCACCUCGAUGUCGGCUCGUCGCAUCCUGGGGCUGGAGCAGGUCCCAAGGGUUCGGCUGUUCGCCGAUUAAAGCGGCACGCGAGCUGGGUUCAGAACGUCGUGAGACAGUUUGGUCUCUAUCCUCUGCGCUCGUUGGAAUCCUGAGGAGGCCUGCCCAU
This 1901-nucleotide ribosomal RNA is filed under the name human gut metagenome. Its description in RNAcentral is "bacterial LSU rRNA". It matches the Rfam family "Bacterial large subunit ribosomal RNA", at positions 901 to 2679 of the family's 2925-position model. The record is from RNAcentral.